UCAAACAUCAUGCUGCAUUUAAUACUGAAAAUUAAAUCUAAUAAUAACAGACCAACACAGUAUCAGACUCGGGCUCCAUUGGCAACCUUAAUCAAUUAUACAUCUAUAAAGUCACACAGUACAGUUUAAUUAUUUAUUUAGCUUUAAUACCGUGAUAGGAAAUAGGGUGAGGGGUCCUUACUUGUUUUGGGGUCUGAAUACGGCUCUACAGUGCGCCUACAGGCUGUCCUUAAUUUUCCCUAAAUUUUUCCCAGAAAACUGAAACGCACUACUCGUACCUGCACGUGCCCCAAAAAAUUCCAAAUUAGAC
Molecule: long non-coding RNA, 310 nt
Filed under: Carica papaya (papaya)
Lineage: Eukaryota; Viridiplantae; Streptophyta; Magnoliopsida; Brassicales; Caricaceae
Description: long non-coding RNA (CPAP_LNC003324)
Source: RNAcentral